UUUUAGCCCCGAUUGCAGUGAAAAUCCUUAUGGAUCGUCUCGUCCCAAAAGACGAGACGAUCCAUAAGAUUGCAACGGAAAGCGGGACGAUGC
This 93-nucleotide small RNA is filed under the name Flavobacterium sp. 1. RNAcentral's name for it is "Flavo-1 RNA". It matches the Rfam family "Flavo-1 RNA". Lineage: Bacteria; Pseudomonadati; Bacteroidota; Flavobacteriia; Flavobacteriales; Flavobacteriaceae. The record is from RNAcentral.